CUACGGGAGGCACCAGGCGAGAAAACUUUGCAAUGUGCGAAAGCACGACAAGGUUAAUCCGAGUGGUUUCUGCUAAAGGAACCUUUUGACAGUCCUAGAAACACUGUUGAAUAAGGGGUGGGCAAGUUCUGGUGUCAGCCGCCGCGGUAAAACCAGCACCUCAAGUGGUCAGGAUGAUUAUUGGGCCCAAAGCAUCCGUAGCCGGCUCUGUAAGUUUUCGGUUAAAUCUGUACGCUCAACGUACAGGCUGCCGGGAAUACUGCAGAGCUAGGGAGUGAGAGAGGUAGACGGUACUCGGUAGGAAGGGGUAAAAUCCUUUGAUCUAUUGAUGACCACCUGUGGCGAAGGCGGUCCACCAGAACACGUCCGACGGUGAGGGAUGAAAGCUGGGGGAGCAAACCGGAUUAGAUACCCCGGUAGUC
This 422-nucleotide ribosomal RNA is filed under the name uncultured archaeon. RNAcentral's name for it is "partial 16S ribosomal RNA". It matches the Rfam family "Archaeal small subunit ribosomal RNA", at positions 323 to 746 of the family's 1478-position model. The record is from RNAcentral.